UAAAGCUACAAAGAGCUAAUGGGGAAUGCCUUGGUACUGACAGCCGACGAAGGACGUGUAAAGCUGCGAUAAGCCACGGGGAACUGCUAAAAGGUCUUGAUCCGUGGAAAUCCGAAUGGGGAAACCCUCCAGAGUUAAAACUUUGGAACCCGUAACUGAAUACAUAGGUUGCGCGGAGGAAAGCCUGUGAACUGAAACAUCUUAGUAACAGGACGAAGAGAAAAUAAACCAAUGAUUCCGAGAGUAGCGGCGAGCGAAAUUGGAAGAGCCUAAAUUGUGUGUACGUGAUAGCCUGCAAGCGUUGUGCACAUGAGGUUGUGGGACUUGCAUCAUAUUUUGCAGAAUAUGGAUUGAGUUAGAAAAUUAUUUAUUAGUUAAAGUCAACUGGGAAGUUGCGCCAUAGAGAGUGAUAGCCUCGUAAACGACAAUAAAUAAUCUCAAGUAAGUAUCCCGAGUAAGGCGGGGCACGUGAAACCCUGUCUGAAUCCACCGGGACCAUCCGGUAAGGCUAAAUACUAGUCAGUGACCGAUAGUGAACGAGUACAGUGAUGGAAAGGCGAAAAGAACAGUGAGAAGCUGAGUGAAAUAGACCCUGAAACCGUUAGCUUACAACCAGUCAGAGCACAAUUAAUUGUGUGAUGGCGUGCCUGUUGAAGAAUGAGCCGGCGAGUUAUUUUUUGUUGCGAGGUUAAGGAGAUUAUAUCCGGAGCCACAGGGAAACCGAGUCUGAAUAGGGCGUUAAGUAACAGGAAAUAGACCCGAACCUUGGUGAUCUAACCUUGACCAGGAUGAAGCGUGGGUAACACUACGUGGAGGUCCGAACCAACCGAUGUUGAAAAAUCGGUGGAUGAGUUGAGGUUAGGGGUGAAAUGCCAAUCGAACCAAGAGCUAGCUGGUUCUCCCCGAAAUGCGUUUAGGCACAGCGUUGGAUUUAUCUUGCAGGAGGUAGAGCACUGGUUUUGUGCGGGCGUCGAAAUGAUGUACCAAACAAUGUCAAACUCCGAAUACCUGUAAUGUCAUUAUCCAGCAGUGAGGCUAUGAGUGAUAAGAUCCAUGGCCAAGAGGGAAACAGCCCAGAACGCCAGUUAAGGUCCCUAAUAUAUGCUAAGUGGUUAAGGAGGUAGAGUUACUGAGACAACCAGGAGGUUGGCUUAGAAGCAGCCAUCCCUUGAAAGAGUGCGUAAUAGCUCACUGGUCAAGUGACUCCGCGCCGAAAAUACACCGGGACUAAAGCAUAUAACCGAAGCUGCGUCAUAUAGUUUACUAUAUGGGUAGGGGAGCGUACUGUAGUAAGACGAAGCUAGAGUGAAAACACUAGUGGAUGAGGCAGUAGUGAGAAUGUCGGCAUAAGUAGCGAAAACAUUGGUGAGAAUCCAAUGCACCGAAAACCUAAGGUUUCCCACGGCAGGCUCGUCCGCGUGGGGUUAGUCGGAUCCUAAGCUCAGGCCAAACGGCGUAGGCGAUGGACAAUAGGUUGAUAUUCCUAUACUAUCUGAUAAUCGUUAUCAGAAGCGGAGGGACGCAAGAGGAUAAGCACGCAGUCGAAUGGAAGAGACUGUAUAAGCGUGUAGCUAGGUUUGACAGGAAAAUCCGUCAAAUCGUUAAUGUGAGGCGUGAUGUGGAGAGUCUACGGACUCGAAGGUGUUGACUCCAAAUUGCCAAGAAAAUCUUCGCUCUCGAGAUUAUUGGGUAUCCGUACCGUAAACCGCCACAGGUAGGUUGGUAGAAAAUACUAAGGUGCGCGAGACAACUCUCGCUAAGGAACUCGGCAAAAUCACCUCGUAACUUCGGGAGAAGAGGUACCCUGGUAGCGUGAAGCGAUUUACUCGUGAAGCGUGAUAGGGUCGCAGUGAAUAGGCCCAAGCGACUGUUUACCAAAAACACAGGUCUCUGCUAAGUCGAUCAAGACGAUGUAUAGGGGCUGACGCCUGCCCGGUGUCGGAAGGUUACGCGGAAAUGUUAGAAGCAAUUCAAAGCAUCGAAGCUAAGCCCCGAUGAACGGCGGCCGUAACUAUAACGGUCCUAAGGUAGCGAAAUUCCUUGUCAGGUA
Molecule: ribosomal RNA, 2050 nt
Filed under: metagenome
Also listed under: 1 other name
Description: bacterial LSU rRNA
Rfam family: Bacterial large subunit ribosomal RNA
Source: RNAcentral